UUUUCUUCGGUUUUUGAGUGUUCCCUUCGCUACCGACUUCAGAAGCGCGCGUAACAAGCAGUUCUUCUUCGGGUUGUAGUAACACUUGUUGUAAACUGCGAGUAAAGAUCGAUGUUAUACACUUAUAGCGCGUCGAAGCAAUGCACACUCGUUUUCCAAGAAAACAGGGGCCUCCAUGCAACCUUUUGCCCAAGCAUGUAG
This 201-nucleotide long non-coding RNA is filed under the name Helianthus annuus (common sunflower). Its description in RNAcentral is "sRNA HanXRQr2_Chr15g0706131". Lineage: Eukaryota; Viridiplantae; Streptophyta; Magnoliopsida; Asterales; Asteraceae. The record is from RNAcentral.